GACGAACGCUGGCGGCGUGCUUAACACAUGCAAGUCGAACGGAAAGGCCCUGCUUUUGUGGUGUGCUCGAGUGGCGAACGGGUGAGUAACACGUGAGUAACCUGCCCUUGACUUUGGGAUAACUUCAGGAAACUGGGGCUAAUACCGGAUAGGAGCUCCUGCUGCAUGGUGGGGGUUGGAAAGUUUCGGCGGUUGGGGAUGGACUCGCGGCUUAUCAGCUUGUUGGUGGGGUAGUGGCUUACCAAGGCUUUGACGGGUAGCCGGCCUGAGAGGGUGACCGGCCACAUUGGGACUGAGAUACGGCCCAGACUCCUACGGGAGGCAGCAGUGGGGAAUAUUGCACAAUGGGCGGAAGCCUGAUGCAGCAACGCCGCGUGCGGGAUGACGGCCUUCGGGUUGUAAACCGCUUUCGCCUGUGACGAAGCGUGAGUGACGGUAAUGGGUAAAGAGGCACCGGCUAACUACGUG
RNAcentral lists this ribosomal RNA (468 nucleotides) under uncultured bacterium. Its description in RNAcentral is "partial 16S ribosomal RNA". It matches the Rfam family "Bacterial small subunit ribosomal RNA", at positions 28 to 507 of the family's 1533-position model. The record is from RNAcentral.